RNAcentral lists this transfer RNA (73 nucleotides) under Spongiocaris panglao. RNAcentral describes it as "tRNA-Leu". The record is from RNAcentral. Lineage: Eukaryota; Metazoa; Arthropoda; Malacostraca; Decapoda; Spongicolidae.
UUCUAAGAUGGCAGAGAUUUUAUAAUGCAUAAAACUUAAGAUUUUAUUACAAGAUUCCCCCCUUUCUUAGAAA